AUGAACGCUGGCGGCGUGCCUAAUACAUGCAAGUCGAGCGAACGGACGAGAAGCUUGCUUCUCUGAUGUUAGCGGCGGACGGGUGAGUAACACGUGGAUAACCUACCUAUAAGCCUGGGAUAACUUCGGGAAACCGGAGCUAAUACCGGAUAAUAUUUUGCACCGCAUGGUUCAAAAGUGAAAGACGGUCUUGCUGUCACUUAUAGCUGGAUCCGCGCUGCCUUAGCUAGCUGGUAAGGUACCGGCUUACCAAGGCAACGCUGCACAGCCGACCUGAGGGGGUGAUCGGCCACACGGGAACUGAGACACGGUCCAGACUCCUACGGGAGGCAGCAGUAGGGAAUCGUCCGCAAUGGGCGAAAGCCUGACGGAGCAACGCCGCGUGAGUGAUGAAGGUCUUCGGAUCGUAAAACUCUGUUAUUAGGGAAGAACAUAUGUGUAAGUAACUGUGCACAUCUUGACGGUACCUAAUCAGAAAGCCACGGCUAACUACGUG
RNAcentral lists this ribosomal RNA (496 nucleotides) under uncultured bacterium. RNAcentral's name for it is "partial 16S ribosomal RNA". It matches the Rfam family "Bacterial small subunit ribosomal RNA", at positions 29 to 507 of the family's 1533-position model. The record is from RNAcentral.